ACUCCUACGGGAGGCAGCAGUCGGGAAUAUUGCACAAUGGAGGAAACUCUGAUGCAGUGACGCCGCGUACAGGAAGAAGGUCCUCUGGAUUGUAAACUGUUGUCGAAGGGGAAGAUAAUGACAGUACCCUUGGAGGAAGCUCCGGCAAACUACGUGCCAGCAGCCGCGGUAAUA
RNAcentral lists this ribosomal RNA (174 nucleotides) under uncultured bacterium. RNAcentral's name for it is "partial 16S ribosomal RNA". It matches the Rfam family "Bacterial small subunit ribosomal RNA", at positions 335 to 525 of the family's 1533-position model. The record is from RNAcentral.